GCCGCUGCUACCUCUCCUCCCCUUUGCUUGGGUCAUUUGAAACCAGAGAGCACCAUUAUUGUUGCUAGAGCUAGCAUUUGUUCUUUUUGAUUGUUCUUGCUUGUUCUUCAUCUCCGGCAUCCAUCGUUGAUCUUCUUCGACUCCGUCAUCGUCUCUUCGUGCUUGGAGGUGACUAUCUUCAUCCUUCCUUGUAUUUUUACGUUGUUUUUGGCUUGUGAUUUUCACAUCAUUUUUAGCUCAAAUCCACUUAUUAUUUUGAAUCCUUCGUUUGAAUUAGUAUCCAUAUAUAUCAUAUUUCAUGGUUGACCUAGUAUUAAUGUAGUUUGCAAGAAUGAAUUAUAGUAUAUUUUUUAUUUUUUUCUUUAUAUUAGAACAUGAGAUGAUAUUAUUAUGUUCUUCUUUAUUACUACAUAAUAUCCAUUGUAUAAUUUAGAAAAUUUGUUGAAGUAGCUAGACAAAUAAAUGAUAUUAUUAGAUUCUUUUUUAAUCAUACUUGUUUACUAGAAAAUGUGGAAUUUGUAAUUGUUUAAAAAUUAAGUAUGGAUAGUAGAUGUAAACCGUGACCGGCUCGGUCUCUCAACGGAUUCAAAAGCGAUACCGGCCGAAACUCCCUCUCAUUACUUGCGACAAGUGUGGGCAGAAGUGUCGGUGUUUUCCCCCGGGGGGUCUCACCAACGAGUAAAUUUGUAUGCGUGCUCCCUUUCCCGGAUGGUGAUGCAAGAAGACACAGAGAUUUAUCCUGGUUCGGGCAAGAGAAGGCCCUACGUCCAGCGGGGGGGAGAGAGUUUGUAUUAUCUCGCACCUAAGUGCUUGUAUAGGGGCGAAUACAAGCGUGGUAUGAAGUGUGGAGCUCUACUACGUAUGAGCGUGGUCUUGUGUCGUGAUCCCUCUGUUCUAUUCCUGAGUCCCUCCUUUUAUAGUUCCAAGGAAGGACCUAGGGUACAUGUAUAGGUGUAGGAAUUGGAGUCGAUAGCAGCAUGGAGCGCUGACCUACUCGAGGUUUCUGUACCGGCAUGACCUCGAGCCGUCCCGUCUUAAUAGCCUGGUGAU
This 1050-nucleotide long non-coding RNA is filed under the name Sorghum bicolor (sorghum). RNAcentral describes it as "long non-coding RNA (SBIC_LNC001160)". Lineage: Eukaryota; Viridiplantae; Streptophyta; Magnoliopsida; Poales; Poaceae. The record is from RNAcentral.